This 253-nucleotide ribosomal RNA is filed under the name uncultured bacterium. Its description in RNAcentral is "partial 16S ribosomal RNA". It matches the Rfam family "Bacterial small subunit ribosomal RNA", at positions 524 to 776 of the family's 1533-position model. The record is from RNAcentral.
AACGUAGGAGGCAAGCGUUAUCCGGAGUUACUGGGCGUAAAGCGUGCGUAGGCGGAAGAGUAAGUGGGUGGUGAAAGCGCCCGGCUAAACCGGGCGAGGUCCAUUCAGACUGCUGUUCUAGAGGCGGAUAGAGGAGUGCGGAAUUCCGGGUGUAGCGGUGAAGUGUGUAGAGAUCCGGAGGAACACCAGUGGUGCAAACGGCGCUCUGGGUCCGUACUGACGCUGAAGCACGAAAGCGUGGGGAGCAAACAGG